GACCAUUAGUGGGUACUCUUACUGAUGAACUUUUAUUACGUUAAAAUUUGAGUACAUGGGAGCAGUGCGGCCUGGGGUGUGGUUGGUGAUGAGUGUGCGAGCGUGAGUGUGAGUGAAUGAGUGUGCAAGGUGAUUGUGCAAGAUGAAGGCCCCUUCCCCGCCUACGCCUUGAUCUUAUUUGAUCGGGUCUAACCCCCACCCUUUAGCCCCACCGGUUCGACCUGAGAUGAAAAAAACCUCCCUCCUGUGAAACCCUCCUGCUUGGGCCCUGUGCAGUGAGGCCUUCCUCGAAGCGGUGGCAUUAUCACCUAAGGCUCUAGUUUGGUCCCAGUCCAGAGUUGGUUCCGAGGGGUCUGGUGCUCGGAUGUGAUGAAUUGAUCAGAUAGACGAGGCCCGGAGUCACUGAUUUAUCAAAGGUAUUAAUGAUCUGA
Non-coding RNA from Suncus etruscus (white-toothed pygmy shrew), 431 nucleotides. RefSeq annotates it as small Cajal body-specific RNA 2. NCBI's taxonomy places the organism in Eukaryota, Metazoa, Chordata, Mammalia, Eulipotyphla, Soricidae. The transcript has a single exon. The record is from RefSeq and is a predicted model, not a curated record.